This 494-nucleotide ribosomal RNA is filed under the name uncultured bacterium. RNAcentral's name for it is "partial 16S ribosomal RNA". It matches the Rfam family "Bacterial small subunit ribosomal RNA", at positions 28 to 507 of the family's 1533-position model. The record is from RNAcentral.
GACGAACGCUGGCGGCGUGCUUAACACAUGCAAGUCGAACGGUGAAGCGCCUUCCUUUUUGGUGGGUGUGGAUGAGUGGCGAACGGGUGAGUAACACGUGAGUAACCUGCCCCCUUCUUCUGGAUAACCGCAUGAAAGUGUGGCUAAUACGGGAUAUUCUGGGUCUGUCGCAUGAUGGGUCUGGGAAAGAUAUUGUUUCGGUGGGGGAUGGGCUCGCGGCCUAUCAGCUUGUUGGUGGGGUGAUGGCCUACCAAGGCGGUGACGGGUAGCCGGCCUGAGAGGGUUGACGGUCACACUUGGACUGAGACACGGCCCAGACUCCUACGGGAGGCAGCAGUGGGGAAUAUUGCACAAUGGGCGCAAGCCUGAUGCAGCGACGCCGCGUGAGGGAUGGAGGCCUUCGGGUUGUGAACCUCUUUCGCCAGUGAAGCAGGCCUGCCUCGUUUGUGGGUGGGUUGACGGUAGCUGGAUAAGAAGCGCCGGCUAACUACGUG